GCGAGGCGCCAGGCAGCGGGAGGUACUCACCCGCUCGGGACUCUGACGUCAGCGUGGUGCCUGCCGUCGUACCUCACGCUCAGGCCGAAGUCGGUUUGCACCAGCACGUGUCUCCCGGAGGGUCGGACGGUGACUCUGGGGUUCGGGCUGACGGGGACAGUCACGGGCUGUCCGUUCACCUGAAAAACACACACGGGGAGAAAUGAGGAGAUUCGAAAAAACGGUGGCGAUCACUUGACCUCCCCUGCGCAAUGUGUCCUUUCACUUGGAAGGGUUCUCUGUCCCUCUUGGCAAGACCAGCAGCCCCUCAACGUACUGUACAAAGAAAGCUGGAUUUGAAUCCGGGCGGACUUACACCCUGGCUUGGAAAAGUCGUCGUCGGGGCCGGAGUUCUCCACGUCAGUCUGCCCAUUCCAUUGGUCAAAGGGGACCAGGGGUGGAGUGUCUUCAUUGGUCCAACCACAUAGAUUGCCAAACUCAUCGAAGUCACAUUGGAAGAUACAAUCUGCACAGGAGAGGAAGGAUAUAUCCAAUCAUGUGCUCAAACAUAGCUUUCUGCCAAGGCGUUAGCAAUAGAUAAGAGCUUCCGUGACACAGUAAAACGGUGAUCGCUACAUAUAGUAAUAUUAGCAAUAUAUUAACAUAAUAUCUUCA
Molecule: long non-coding RNA, 654 nt
Organism: Carcharodon carcharias (great white shark)
Lineage: Eukaryota; Metazoa; Chordata; Chondrichthyes; Lamniformes; Lamnidae
Exons: 2
Source: RefSeq, a predicted model, not a curated record